Oreochromis aureus is the source of this 1809-nucleotide long non-coding RNA. NCBI's taxonomy places the organism in Eukaryota, Metazoa, Chordata, Actinopteri, Cichliformes, Cichlidae. The record is from Ensembl.
UUUCCUGUGUCAAUAAACCUGUGAACCGGGAAUCGUGUCGUCAGAGUCUUGAUGUGGGGAAGGAGUUUAGCUGACUGCCCAACCAUAGCAGAGGCAGUACAAGUAACGAGCUGAAUUGCUCUAAAAGCUUGACAAUCAGCUCUACUGGGAGAUUGCCACAAAAGCAGCGUGUGUGUGUGUUUUGUUCAGCUCCGCUGGUCUCCCCGUUGUUCUGCCUGACAGUAAAUCUGCGCCACUGUGGAAAUGAACGCUGGCGUUAGGAGCUUCUUUAGUCUGCUGCUAAUCACACACUUUAGCAGAGCCCAGAAAAUCAGUGAUGACUCCAUCAACACCCCCCACCCUCCUGUGCUGUUCAGCAUCAGCCCCCAAUCCUACAUCAGCUUCCUGCUGCUGGGCCUGACCGUCGUCGUGUUCGGCGGCGUCUAUCUCUGGAUCCUCAGAUACGUCUGCAUCGGCUGCUGCCAGCCCAUCACAGUGGGCGUUGAAUCAGAAGCCCUGGCAGGGAUGGUGUGAAGUCAUCGGCCCCUGUCUGAUUGAGUUGGGCUGUUACCAAGUCACACAGGACAUGUACCUCGGUUUUACAGGUAAAAGACUUGGCCUAUCCGACUUGUCAUCAAUUUUGCAAAAGAAAGUAGGUGUCAGGGAAGAUAACUAAGUGUGUAGUCAUUUGUGCUCCCAUAUAAGUUUUUUUUUUCAAGUGCGGUUCCAGAGCGCUCAGUGACAGUGUCAAUGCUGGAAAAUAAGAAAGUAGGAGAAAAGUAGUUCUUUUGCUCUUACUUCUACACCCUGCUUACCUGAUAUCUGGCAAACAUCUGUUGGACACUGCCUGAAAAAUCGCUAAAAAGCUACUGAGCAGUGAACGUGAGACACAAUUGUAAAGCUGGGUGGCAGAAAUUUAAGAAAAAGUUCAGCUAAUAAGCUGAUAAAAUGCUUUGUAUCUUUGCUUUAGGGUUUUCUUUGUAGUUUAUUGACUGUUUUAUUUCGAAACCCUUUUUUCAUGGUUUCUUUUCUUACUUCCUGCCUUUCUCCUUCACAAGUGGGUUUUGUGUGUAACAAUUAGCCAUUUAGUGUAUUUAUAAUGGCGUCCCCCUUUUCUGCUGUCAAGUUAGUUUGUGUCUAGUUUUAUUUGUUUUGUUCCUGGGUAUCUGUCUCAGCUUCAGCAUUAUGUUAAAAACAAUCCAUAAAAACAUACUACAGUGUCUUCUUUUAAAACAAAGACAUUUUCUAUUAUUUUUUCUCCAUAUAUUCCACUCAACUGGUUAUUUUUGAGCAUUUACACACUUUAUGGGGAAAAAAAUUACCAGUUGAAGUUUUUGUGAAAGUACAGCCUGUUGAUUUCUCUGCUCGUGGCAUUUCUGCUCAGCUGAAUGACACAAAUAAAUCUCCUUUUCUUCUUCAAUCUUGCCUUGUGUUAUGGGGCCUGUGUAGGGUGACCAGAUCACAGUCUAAAAGUAAAUAUAACAAAAAUAAAGAGAAGCUGAAGUUUGUUCUUAUUGUCUAUAUUAUCUGUUAAUUCUUCCUCCUCCUGGAGGAGGAGGAGUAUUUAAUCUGUUCUGUUUGUUAACAGUCUAGCAUGCAAUCGGAUCUAGGUCACAAUAAAUGUGAAAAUCUGAAAAAACUUUAUAUUACUCAAAUUUUUUAAUGGAUGGAUCUUCUAACUUCACAACAAUAUGCUAGACCUUGGUGGACAUUAAUACCUUGGCUGGCUAAACAUUUGACUUUGACCUUCAUUUUUAGUGCCCAAAUUUGAAGAAACCAUAUCAAGUAAUCUGUCAUAUUAAAAGUACAGAAAACUUUCUUCUUUUAUUC